Molecule: ribosomal RNA, 892 nt
Filed under: uncultured bacterium
Lineage: Bacteria
Description: bacterial SSU rRNA
Rfam family: Bacterial small subunit ribosomal RNA
Source: RNAcentral
GGGGGCAACCCCUCGAGAGUGGCGAACGGGUGAGUAAUAUAUCGGAACGUGCCCAGUCGUGGGGGAUAACGUAGCGAAAGUUACGCUAAUACCGCAUACGAUCUACGGAUGAAAGCGGGGGAUCGCAAGACCUCGCGCGAUUGGAGCGGCCGAUAUCAGAUUAGGUAGUUGGCGGGGUAAAGGCUCACCAAGCCAACGAUCUGUAGCUGGUCUGAGAGGACGACCAGCCACACUGGAACUGAGACACGGUCCAGACUCCUACGGGAGGCAGCAGUGGGGAAUUUUGGACAAUGGACGCAAGUCUGAUCCAGCCAUUCCGCGUGCAGGAUGAAGGCCCUCGGGUUGUAAACUGCUUUUGUACGGAACGAAAAGGUUUCUAUUAAUACUAGGAACUCAUGACGGUACCGUAAGAAUAAGCACCGGCUAACUACGUGCCAGCAGCCGCGGUAAUACGUAGGGUGCAAGCGUUAAUCGGAAUUACUGGGCGUAAAGCGUGCGCAGGCGGUUAUGUAAGACAGAGGUGAAAUCCCCGGGCUCAACCUGGGAACUGCCUUUGUGACUGCAUAGCUAGAGUACGGUAGAGGGGGAUGGAAUUCCGCGUGUAGCAGUGAAAUGCGUAGAUAUGCGGAGGAACACCGAUGGCGAAGGCAAUCCCCUGNACCUGUACUGACGCUCAUGCACGNNNCGUGGGGAGCAAACAGGAUUAGAUACCCUGNUAGUCCACGCCCUAAACGAUGUCAACUGGUUGUUGGGUCUUCACUGACUCAGUAACGAAGCUAACGCGUGAAGUUGACCGCCUGGGGAGUACGGCCGCANGGUUGAAACUCAAAGGAAUUGACGGGGACCCGCACAAGCGGUGGAUGAUGUGGUUUANUUCNAUGCAACGCGAAAA